GAGACCCACGCCCACAGUUGCCAGCGUACUCUCCGGAGUGAUGGGUACACUGUGGGGACCGCCGCUGCUAAAGCGGAGGAAGGAAUGGGCAACGGUAGGUCAGUAUGCCCCGAAUAUCCCGGGCUACACGCGAGCUACAAUGGUUGGUACAAUGGGUAUCUACCCCGAAAGGGGAUGGAAACCUCCUAAAGCCAAUCUUAGUUCGGAUCGAGGGCUGCAACUCGCCCUCGUGAAGCUGGAAUCCGUAGUAAUCGCGUUUCAACAGAACGCGGUGAAUAC
Molecule: ribosomal RNA, 279 nt
Filed under: uncultured Methanotrichaceae archaeon
Lineage: Archaea; Methanobacteriati; Methanobacteriota; Methanomicrobia; Methanotrichales; Methanotrichaceae
Description: uncultured Methanosaetaceae archaeon partial 16S ribosomal RNA
Rfam family: Archaeal small subunit ribosomal RNA
Source: RNAcentral